AAAUUGAAGAGUUUGAUCAUGGCUCAGAUUGAACGCUGGCGGCAGGCCUAACACAUGCAAGUCGAACGGUAACAGGAAGAAGCUUGCUUCUUUGCUGACGAGUGGCGGACGGGUGAGUAAUGUCUGGGAAACUGCCUGAUGGAGGGGGAUAACUACUGGAAACGGUAGCUAAUACCGCAUAAUGUCGCAAGACCAAAGAGGGGGACCUUCGGGCCUCUUGCCAUCGGAUGUGCCCAGAUGGGAUUAGCUUGUUGGUGGGGUAACGGCUCACCAAGGCGACGAUCCCUAGCUGGUCUGAGAGGAUGACCAGCCACACUGGAACUGAGACACGGUCCAGACUCCUACGGGAGGCAGCAGUGGGGAAUAUUGCACAAUGGGCGCAAGCCUGAUGCAGCCAUGCCGCGUGUAUGAAGAAGGCCUUCGGGUUGUAAAGUACUUUCAGCGGGGAGGAAGGGAGUAAAGUUAAUACCUUUGCUCAUUGACGUUACCCGCAGAAGAAGCACCGGCUAACUCCGUGCCAGCAGCCGCGGUAAUACGGAGGGUGCAAGCGUUAAUCGGAAUUACUGGGCGUAAAGCGCACGCAGGCGGUUUGUUAAGUCAGAUGU
This 605-nucleotide ribosomal RNA is filed under the name Escherichia coli. RNAcentral describes it as "bacterial SSU rRNA". It matches the Rfam family "Bacterial small subunit ribosomal RNA", at positions 1 to 595 of the family's 1533-position model. Lineage: Bacteria; Pseudomonadati; Pseudomonadota; Gammaproteobacteria; Enterobacterales; Enterobacteriaceae. The record is from RNAcentral.